RNAcentral lists this ribosomal RNA (485 nucleotides) under uncultured bacterium 5725. RNAcentral describes it as "bacterial SSU rRNA". It matches the Rfam family "Bacterial small subunit ribosomal RNA", at positions 899 to 1384 of the family's 1533-position model. The record is from RNAcentral.
AUUCAAAUGAAUUGACGGGGGCCCGCACAAGCGGUGGAGCAUGUGGUUUAAUUCGAUGCAACGCGAAGAACCUUACCUACUCUUGACAUCCAGAGAACUUAGCAGAGAUGCUUUGGUGCCUUCGGGAACUCUGAGACAGGUGCUGCAUGGCUGUCGUCAGCUCGUGUUGUGAAAUGUUGGGUUAAGUCCCGCAACGAGCGCAACCCUUAUCCUUUGUUGCCAGCGGUCCGGCCGGGAACUCAAAGGAGACUGCCAGUGAUAAACUGGAGGAAGGUGGGGAUGACGUCAAGUCAUCAUGGCCCUUACGAGUAGGGCUACACACGUGCUACAAUGGCGCAUACAAAGAGAAGCGACCUCGCGAGAGCAAGCGGACCUCAUAAAGUGCGUCGUAGUCCGGAUUGGAGUCUGCAACUCGACUCCAUGAAGUCGGAAUCGCUAGUAAUCGUAGAUCAGAAUGCUACGGUGAAUACGUUCCCGGGCCUGGG